CCUGGAUCUAAUGAAUUAUUUCAUUAAUUUGGAAUAAUAAAGUAUACCUUUGUUUAUUCCAAAAAAAUUUUUACCAGAGGCAUAAUUUGGAUGCUUCUGGUAAAAACCAAGACAGGUGUCAGGGCUCAGGUCCAGGAUGAGGACGAGGAGCAAGGGAGCUUCCUUCCAGCAGAUGACCUCAGGAUCAUGGCUGAGCAGUUAUCUGGCUGAGCAGUCUGAGAAUGUGGACUCUAGUACUGCUCAGCAGGAGCCCUUCUGAUGUAGAAGUGCCUGAACCUGAACAGAAUCAGAUUGAUGAGCAGGAAUUAACUCACCCUGCUGGCUUUAGCUGAGGAUAGAUUGCAUACAGCUGCGAUGGUCAAGAAGAUUGGCACAGGGGAAGGCUACAGGGCUGUAAAGGCUUGCCGCCGGCAGCAUAAAUAACGGAUGCUGGCAGGAGCCUGGUGCUGGCAGCAAUCGUUGUUGUAUGGAGAGCUUCAGCCAGAAAUCUUGGAAACCUUGUACUCUGAACCUUCGACUUUGUGUGUUGGACCUCUGGAGGUGAUAAUGCAGGCUUCUCGGCUUGGAAAUGGAGAAGAGCACUUUCUCCAGAGCCAGAGAUAAGCACCACCUGCAGAGCCGGAAAUGAAAGAAGACUUUGCCUUUGUCUAUGCUUGUUUGUCUCAUUGUAUGUGAUUGUAACAAGGUAUUGAAUGUUUGCCUGUGCCUGUUUAUAUGCUGUAAUCUGCUCUGAAUCCCCUCGGGGAGAAGGGCAGAAUAUAAAUAAAUUAUUAUUAAGUUGCCUGUUGACCUAUAGUGACCUCAGGAAUUUCAUAGGGUUUUCUUAGACAAGGAAUAUUCAGAGGUAACUUCACCAGUUCCUUCCUCUGAAAUAUAGCCUACAGCAUCUAGCAUUUCUUGGUUGAAAUAAAUGUGAAAUGUAAUGUAUUUUUGGUGGUCUCCCACCUAGGCAGUAAUAGGGCUGAUCCUACUUGGCUUAUUACAGCUAUUUGAUUUUCCCCUUUUCUGAAACAAAUUAUUAUUUCUGAACUACCAGCAUAUUAAGUCUUUUAUUAUUAUUAUUAUUAUUAUUAUUAUUAAACUUUAUUUGUACCCCGCUAGCAUCUCCCGAAGGACUCGGUGCGGCUUACAAAGGCCAAGGCCUCAACACACAAUAUAACAAUACAAAACAAAAAGUAAAUUAAAAACAAUUAAAACAGUAUAAACAACAAGCAAUAAACAAUACGCUAAAACACAAUAAAACUGGGCCGGGCCAGAGUAAUGGGUACAAGAUUAAAAGUGCUGAUGUGACAGGUGAUAUAUAAGGCUUAUAGGGCAAGUGCAGAGUGCGAUAUAUAAGGUCUUGGGACCUUUCCUAGGACAAUGUGUUGUCGAAGGCUUUCAUGGCCGGGAUCACAGGGUUGUUGUAUGUCUUUCGGGCUGUGUGGCCAUGUUCCAGAAGUAUUCUCUCCUGACGUUUCGCCCACAUCUAUGGCAUUGAUUCCAAUGUAGAUGCACCCCAGGCUAAUGUGAAUAGAGAUUCAACCCAAAUUUGAAAUUAAAAAAAAAAAUCAGUUUUAGGGCCUUUAAGUUAGUAUGUGAUAAAGCUGUAUUUUAUAUGUUUUGAUGGUUUUAACUUUUUAUGGUUAAUACCUCUUAGUUGAAUUAUAUUUUAGUUUAAGCGGCUGAGGGGGAAAGGAAAGGGCCCGAGGCGGUUAGGAAUGGUGGGAGUUGAAGUCCAAAACAUCUGGAGGGAGGGCCCAAGUUUGCCCAUGCCUGGUAUACAUAAAUAUAAUAAUAUAUAAUAACACUAGAACACGUCUCAGCUGUAUAUAAAGGAAGAUGCCUUAAGCAUGUGACACGUUUUUAACCUUCUGUUGGGAGAGAAAAAUCACAGAAUCCCAGCAUGAGCCAAACUUAAUGGGGUGGUUGAGGCUUCAUUAAAGGUGGCCCUUUAAUGAAGCCUCCUAUGGCUUAAUUAAACUAGUCUGGAUCCACUUUAAAUCCACUUUAGGAUGGGGCCUUUAAACAGCUCUGUAGACAGGUCCUGGGCCUCACCAAACUACAAUCUCCAGAAUUCUGCAGGAGGCAGAAACCGGAUUUUAAGUGGAUAAAUGCUGAAGUCUGAUAAGGACCCUAGUCAUCUCUGACAGGGAAACUACACUUCCCACAGGCGCAUUUCAUUAUAGCGCCUUUAGUCCCUGGAGCUCUCGCAAUGCACCACGGGACUCGUAGUGUGCGCUUCGCUGCGGCGCUUUCAACUCUGGCGGUUUUGGGACUCCAUUUCCCAUAACCGACUGCGAAUGGAGGUGGUGUUGACGCAGGCGCGGCGCAGCGCGGGCGGAAAAAAGAGGGGGCGGGGCCUCGGAGGUUGGCUGCCUCUCUCUCUCUCUCUCGCUGGCUGGCUGUGGAAGUGAGCGAGCGAGUGCGUUCGUGCGCGCGCGCGUGUGUGCGUGUGCGCGAGGAAGGGGAGUGUUGGUUCCGAGCGCACACCAGAGUCGCCAUUUAGCGCGGCGCGUUCGCUCUGUCUUAGGCGGCGGCCACUGCAGGAAGAAGAAGAGGCCCGUCCGCCUCAGUCGCCAUGAAGGCAGGAAGGAAAGGAGUGAUAAAGCGCGGAGAGUAGGCGGUGGAGUAUGCUAGGCCUUGUCAUU
Molecule: long non-coding RNA, 2630 nt
Organism: Anolis carolinensis (green anole)
Lineage: Eukaryota; Metazoa; Chordata; Lepidosauria; Squamata; Anolidae
Source: Ensembl